Molecule: unclassified non-coding RNA, 634 nt
Filed under: Thamnosma africana
Lineage: Eukaryota; Viridiplantae; Streptophyta; Magnoliopsida; Sapindales; Rutaceae
Description: sequence contains ITS1, 5.8S rRNA gene, ITS2
Source: RNAcentral
CUCGCGGAACAAGCCCGCGCCCCCAGGAACUNNNNNNNNNNNNGCNCGCUGCCGUCGAGCUAAUCGAAAGUGGUGGCUAGCNGCGCCGGUCGUAACGGUCCCUGAGCUUAAACCCGGUUGGCGCUCGCCCUUCGCGUGCCCUCCGGUUAUAGGCGGGGGUGCAGGACGUCGGGGCGCUCCCCCCUCCCCCMCCCCCGCUGCUACGCACUGUGGGUCCGUCUGCACGGGAGCCGGAUUUCCGAACCCCGCGUUGAACGCAAGUUUCUGAGCUACCAAGUGCCCUAAGACGUUAAGUGUGGUUCAUAGCGUAAAGCGAUGCAAGAAGUAGCUACGCUCUCGGUUCUAUAGGCAACGGCUCUCAGCAUAACCUAUACACUUUCUUCCGCCACGGAGGCCNUCCGUUUGGGCGCCCCNAGCGAGAGAGCAAUUCAAAGGAACCGCGCAAGGCGCGGCCCCCAAGCAAUCCCSCGGCGCCCCUUACGUCCUGCUCAGGGCGUGAGGUACGCUGCCACCNCCCCUCCUCUGCUCCGAGGGGGGCGUUGCCACUAAAGUGAGCAAGCGCCCAGUAAGACGAUCCGUCCAAAGCUGUUACUAGGAAAGGCGUCCAAGUGGAUGCCUUUGGAACAAUGCUGAA